Glycine soja is the source of this 230-nucleotide long non-coding RNA. RefSeq lists it as uncharacterized. The transcript has 3 exons. Lineage: Eukaryota; Viridiplantae; Streptophyta; Magnoliopsida; Fabales; Fabaceae. The record is from RefSeq and is a predicted model, not a curated record.
AGAAUGAAACUCCAUCUCUGACACAAAGUUCACGGCCAAAGAGAGGAAGACGUUCCAAACUACUACCUGAUGAAUGGAUGAAAAAUUGGGAAGUUGAAAGAUUUGAUAAGGAGGUUGAGAGAUACGAGAAUGAAGGAAUUCGUAUUCGACGUCAAAAAGUAAAGACACAAGACAAAGAAGAAAGCAACCGCAAAACCAAAGAAGAAACAAAAGAAUUUAUUGUAGCUCAA